UCUAUAAAUGUUGUCGCUAUGAGACGAAUGGUUGUUAUUGGAAUGGCAAGAUAAUAAAAAAACUUUUCACUUCAUGUGACAAUGUUUAUACAAAGUAAAAAAAAGUCGUUGGAUGCCCUUGUCAAGAAUGGAACAUGUUAAAGAAUUAGACGGUGAAUGAUAUGGCUAAAUUGACAGAUUUGAAUUAUGCAUCUAUCUUAGAGGGGAAAGUUUCAAGCUUAGAGUGAAAUUGUAUUAAGUUUGGUUAAUGUUCUUAUGUUUUAGGAAUUGGUAUGAUUCGCAAGUUUCAUUAUAAUGUAUUUCCAUCGUUAAUGAAGUAAAUUUGAACCAAAUUUGUUUUCAUUUUUGGCCCGCGUUUGGUGCAGUUUAGUAUCGAAUUUUGGUUCAAUUUUUUUUAUCUCGUUAUGGU
This 409-nucleotide long non-coding RNA is filed under the name Solanum tuberosum (potato). Its description in RNAcentral is "long non-coding RNA (STUB_LNC007853)". The record is from RNAcentral. Lineage: Eukaryota; Viridiplantae; Streptophyta; Magnoliopsida; Solanales; Solanaceae.